Molecule: long non-coding RNA, 843 nt
Organism: Lytechinus pictus (painted urchin)
Lineage: Eukaryota; Metazoa; Echinodermata; Echinoidea; Temnopleuroida; Toxopneustidae
Exons: 3
Source: RefSeq, a predicted model, not a curated record
GCAAGAUGGUGGUUUCAGCGACGAAACGCUUUUCGUUGUUUGCGGAGAAAAAUCUUCUCACAGAAAUUGCAUCCGAUGAUAGUUUGUAUCUGAAGAAGCUGAAUAGGGAUGAAACAGGUUCAAAUCAGUAAUCUCGAGAAACACAGAGAGGGGAAUCGACGUUGAAAAGGUUGACAAUUUCGUCAAAGAAAGACAGAAGUUAAGAUUGAUCAUGACAGUCAGCCUAAAUUUUCAUUGGAAUGGAGGAAUUAAGGAGUAAAGUUAAUACAAGCGACAUUCCUACAAAGUACUUUGUUUCUGCUUAUUUUGAACCCGAUUACAAUCUCAACUACACACUCCUCGCCCAAAUGUAUCUCUGUAAAGGUGUCUGCAUGAGAGGUAAAAUUUCGCUUCAGCAAAACCGACAGUGCCUCACUUUGCUUCAGAAGACUUUUUAAAGCAGUUCGCUCAUCUUUUUUGUGACUUUAUAUUUACUGAGAUUUAAUAUCAUCAAGGACUUGGGAUGCUGAAUCGCUUAACUUUAUCUACAUUCGACAGAAAAAACUCUUCACUUAGUCGUUUGCCUGAGAGACAUUAUUUUCACUGGAGAACUUCGCCGAAACUAAUCCGAAUUUCACGCAAGGUUUAUUGAUAGGUCUCUGGUCGGUUGUUCUACCCUUCAUCUGUCGAUUCGAACUCAAUAAUUUGGUGAACAUUUGCGGACAGACAUGUUUGUGGACCUUUGGAAAGAGACCUUUUCACUGGAUCUUGAAAUGGAAAUUUGUUUUUGUGCUGAUGUUGAUUUGGGCAUGGAUUGUCGGCGGAAACAGAUGGGAAUGCUGAGACUGAACAAAGGUUCCUGUA